Podarcis lilfordi (Lilford's wall lizard) is the source of this 76-nucleotide non-coding RNA. The record is from the annotation of a GenBank genome assembly. NCBI's taxonomy places the organism in Eukaryota, Metazoa, Chordata, Lepidosauria, Squamata, Lacertidae.
AUUCCGUGAUAGCUCAGUUGGUUAGUGCACGGCACUGAUAAUGCCAAGGUUGCAGGUUUGAUCCCUGUAUGGGACA